This 587-nucleotide ribosomal RNA is filed under the name uncultured bacterium. Its description in RNAcentral is "partial 16S ribosomal RNA". It matches the Rfam family "Bacterial small subunit ribosomal RNA", at positions 355 to 1375 of the family's 1533-position model. The record is from RNAcentral.
UGGGGAAUUUUGGACAAUGGGCGAAAGCCUGAUCCAGCAAUGCCGCGUGUGUGAAGAAGGCCUUCGGGUUGUAAAGCACUUUUGUCCGGAAAGAAAUCCUUGGCUCUAAUACAGUCGGGGGAUGACGGUACCGGAAGAAUAAGCACCGGCUAACUACGUGCCAGCAGCCGCGGUAAUACGUAGGGUGCAAGCGUUAAUCGGAAUUACUGGGCGUAAAGCGUGCGCAGGCGGUUUGCUAAGACCGAUGUGAAAUCCCCGGGCUCAACCUGGGAACUGCAUUGGUGACUGGCAGGCUAGAGUAUGGCAGAGGGGGGUAGAAUUCCACGUGUAGCAGUGAAAUGCGUAGAGAUGUGGAGGAAUACCGAUGGCGAAGGCAGCCCCCUGGGCCAAUACUGACGCUCAUGCACGAAAGCGUGGGGAGCAAACAGGAUUAGAUACCCUGGUAGUCCACGUCCUAAACGAUGUCAACUAGUUGUUGGGGGAUUCAUUUUCCUUAGUAACGUAGCUAACGCGUGAAGUUGACCGCCUGGGGAGUACGGUCGCAAGAUUAAAACUCAAAGGAAUUGACGGGGUCAUAGCUGUUUCCU